RNAcentral lists this transfer RNA (87 nucleotides) under Tuwongella immobilis. RNAcentral's name for it is "Planctomycetes bacterium MBLW1 tRNA". It matches the Rfam family "tRNA". Rfam says of the family: Transfer RNA (tRNA) molecules are approximately 80 nucleotides in length. Their secondary structure includes four short double-helical elements and three loops (D, anti-codon, and T loops). The record is from Rfam by way of RNAcentral. Lineage: Bacteria; Pseudomonadati; Planctomycetota; Planctomycetia; Gemmatales; Gemmataceae.
GGAGGGAUGGCAGAGCGGUUGAAUGCACCGGUCUUGAAAACCGGAGAUACCGUAAGGUAUUCCAGGGUUCGAAUCCCUGUCCCUCCG